GAUGAACGCUGGCGGCGUGCCUAAUACAUGCAAGUCGAGCGAACAGACGAGGAGCUUGCUCCUCUGACGUUAGCGGUGGACGGGUGAGUAACACGUGGAUAACCUACCUAUAAGACUGGGAUAACUUCGGGAAACCGGAGCUAAUACCGGAUAAUAUAUUGAACCGCAUGGUUCAAUAGUGAAAGACGGUUUUGCUGUCACUUAUAGAUAGAUCCGCGCCGCAUUAGCUAGUUGGUAAGGUAACGGCUUACCAAGGCAACGAUGCGUAGCCGACCUGAGAGGGUGAUCGGCCACACUGGAACUGAGACACGGUCCAGACUCCUACGGGAGGCAGCAGUAGGGAAUCUUCCGCAAUGGGCGAAAGCCUGACGGAGCAACGCCGCGUGAGUGAUGAAGGUCUUCGGAUCGUAAAACUCUGUUAUUAGGGAAGAACAAAUGUGUAAGUAACUAUGCACGUCUUGACGGUACCUAAUCAGAAAGCCACGGCUAACUACGUG
Molecule: ribosomal RNA, 497 nt
Filed under: uncultured bacterium
Lineage: Bacteria
Description: partial 16S ribosomal RNA
Rfam family: Bacterial small subunit ribosomal RNA
Source: RNAcentral